CAUUACUGUUCCCAUCUCUAUUACAGAACCGUACAUGAGAUUUUCACCUCAUACGGCUCCUGGAAAGCCUUAAGUAAAUUUAAGGACCGGGUCGAUUAUUUAUCUCUUGAUAUAUCCCUAAGAUAUAGAAGAUGAAAAUCUAUCGAACGGUUCUGAAUUAGACCAAUUCAAUUCUGUCUGUUCUACAAAUAACGAAAUAAGAAAGAGAAAUCUAUUUUAAUAAAAGAUCCAAUUAAGGCACUUCUGAAUUGAUCUCAUCCCUCAAAAAAAAAAAAACUUUGUUGAGUAAUAACUGAAUUCUUCAAUAAAAUACUCUUUUAUAAUUCUCAAUAAUCCUCAUGAUUUUGAAUGACGAAAAAUAAUUACACAUUCGUUUCUUAAUUCUUAAAUUGGAUCUCCAUGAAUAUGGAUAUAAGAAAUCAAAAACGAAAGAGAAAUCUAUUUUUCCUUUUUGAUUUCUUAUUAUUUUUCUUCCUAUUCUUCUUUUGUGUGCUAUGAAAAAGGGACUUGCAAAAAUUUUAAAGGAUUUUUCCGUUCCUGAUAGUAAUUUAUUUAGUGAGUGGAUGGAAGCAUACUCUGGAUCGGAGUUGUGGGGAGUAUUGCUUUCUUUUUUCUACCAACUUAAAGCCCCAAUUAGUAUUCUUCUUAUAUUCUGCGUAAAUUUUCUUUUGGAUAAUUUACAAAAUCUGUGUUACUAAUCCUUUGUGUAUCUUGGUGUUUCUAACCAUCUACUUAAGCCCAAUCCCACUUAAGUGCCCACAAAGAAAGCAUGGAAUUUGAAAGGGGCAGCUGUACAGCUGCUCCAACCGUGUGGCUUUGCAAGCCUUCGGUAUUCCUCAUGCAGCCAUCUGUCUUGGUAAUGAGAAUAUUCAUGGCCUUUGAAAAACUCCCCAACCGUCAUUUGUAUUAAUUGGUACAUAAAUGAUUAUUAACUCUAAUAACAACACUACAAUGUCUCUUUAAACUCCAAUAACCCCCUCCCUCUAUGCAUUUUUCACUAUUGCCAUACAGUAUAUCGACGAAAGAAAAAUCCACACUGCCGAACUUGAUGAACAACAUAUGAAGUUCAUCAGUUUCGAUUUCAAAAAUUUAGAGAAAAAACGAAAUAACCAGUUUCCAAAACAAAUUCCACAGCCCUAACCUAAAAUGCUUCGGAACAUCAAACAAAUCAGAACCCUAUUUCAUGGCUUUUCUAGAAACAAAAUCCAAUUGCAAUCCCCAUUCAAACGUUAGCCAUGGCAAGAAGAUACCGUAUACAAUAUUGACAAUCAACAACCAUCAAUUAAUUUGACGUACAAGGUUUAAUACGCAUAUGAAGGUUUUGAUCCCAAAAAGCUUUACGCAAAGAGAAACAGAUCUCAACGAAGCCUCACGACUCCGUCGAAAUUCCGGUGACCAAGAGUAAUACCUCAGGGUCUUAGCUCGGAUUACUCAAAGUUCUAAGGAUAAACUUUGAGCACCCAUUUGGUAUUUUUGAGCUUUGGUGCGGUUUGUGAUGGGAUUUCGGCAGGGUAACGAUGCUCUUUUUUUUCUCCCUUUUCAGUGACUGCGUGCCUCUCUUUAUAGAACUCAGAAUAUACUCCCUCUAAUCAUGAGCUGGCAAAUCCUAGCAAGAUCAUUCCGUUAGGAGAGAAUUUUCUUCAGAUUUGGUGGGGACCAAGGUUACACACAUUUUCAGGAAAAUAUCUUGCAGACUUACAAGAGGAGUGGCAAUAUUGUAGGUCUUAGUUGCAACAACUAUUAUUGUUUAAGAGACACAGGCUGAUGAUGCUGCCACUGUGGCGCCUGCCAUUGUUGUUGCUUCACUACUUGACUAGUUACACUAGAAUCAGGAGUUCUACUGAACCCAUAUGGUGGCAGAUGAUGUUCUUACCGUUGAUGCUCAAAUGACCUCCAAAAAGAAGUAUCAAUUCAGGGAAAAUUGGGGAUGCAUGUGUGAAGCUUAUUCCCUUCCAGUAACACCAAAACAGUUGGUAAGUGAAUCUGAUAUAAUUACAGAAGGAGCAGGUUCGGUACUUCUCGUUCCCAUCCACUUCUUCCUUCUGUUUUCCUUUUAGCAGGUUUUUUCUGAUUGGUUCAAGUGUGAUGAUGUGUUUAUCUAGCAACUUUGGUUCAUUUCACUGAUAUGUCGCUGCUUGACUAGGUUGAAAAUUGAUUGUGUAAUAUGCUCACUGAUAUGCCUUGCCUCAAUUUCCUUUCACAUGGGUUGCUCCUUUAUUGGUUUCAAUCCUGUCUAUUGGCUUUGUUUGUUGCCUCACCUUAUUGCCUAUUGAUGGGAACUAAUGGCAAUAUUAUGGGAUUAAAGACUGCAACCUUUGUUGAUGAUUUGGACUGCUUGCUGCAAACUGAUAUGCUAAUAUUGCGGACUUGCAUUUCUACUCGAUGCAGGUUUUGUUCAAAUUCUGGCUUGCUGCAGCAGGCUUAUGGAUAUUGCAUUGUUGCUGACUGCAUUACUUCAUAGUUUUUGUGAGGGUCUAAUUCCUCAACACAAAACUGCAGGGCAUGCUGUUGGCUUGGUUGCUCUGUUGUAAACAAAAAUGUGGUUGUAAUUCAUCUUCAUUAGGAUUUAGGCUAUGUAAAUUACUAGGUUCGUUAUGUAAAAAAGGUCAACUUGUUUGGAUCAUAAUAACUUGUAGCCAUGGAUCAACAUGAAGUAUGAUUGGUUUGUGGUUUUGUUUGGUAUGUAUGUAGCAGCCUAUGUGUUGUUGCUAUGCUGGCCUUUCAUACAGUCGUGGCUUUCUUCCAUUCUUCAAUUGCUUUUUUCGUUUUAUCUGUAUCUUGCUUUUUCUGUAAUGGACAUGUCUUUCUUUUAAAUAAGAGCAGCUUAAAUCUUCCAGGUCAAAA
Lathyrus oleraceus (garden pea) is the source of this 2844-nucleotide long non-coding RNA. RefSeq lists it as uncharacterized. The transcript is spliced from 5 exons. The record is from RefSeq and is a predicted model, not a curated record. Lineage: Eukaryota; Viridiplantae; Streptophyta; Magnoliopsida; Fabales; Fabaceae.